AUGACUUUCAUCAUCAUCUUCAUCUGGACACUUUUUAUCCAAGGUAACAGUGGACAGAUAACUGUGACUCAAACUCCUGCUAUUAAAACUGUUCAGACUGGUGAAUCUGUCACUAUAAACUGCAAAACAAAUACACAAGUGAGCAACGGUUGUACUGGUUCAUAUACUUGUAUGGCCUGGUACCUGCAGAAACCUGGAGAAGCUCCUAAACUCUUGAUUCAUUCUGCAAGUCAAAGACUCUCAAACACUCCAUCAAGAUUCAGUGGCAGCGGAUCAAACACAGAUUUCACUUUGACCAUCAGUGGAGUUCAGACUGAAGAUUCAGGAGAUUAUUACUGUCAGAGUUUUCACAGUAGUAGUGGCUAUGUGUUGACACAGUGA
Non-coding RNA from Misgurnus anguillicaudatus (oriental weatherfish), 381 nucleotides. The record is from the annotation of a RefSeq genome assembly. Lineage: Eukaryota; Metazoa; Chordata; Actinopteri; Cypriniformes; Cobitidae.